This 170-nucleotide ribosomal RNA is filed under the name Vigna umbellata (rice bean). RNAcentral's name for it is "partial small subunit ribosomal RNA". It matches the Rfam family "Eukaryotic small subunit ribosomal RNA", at positions 1665 to 1830 of the family's 1831-position model. Lineage: Eukaryota; Viridiplantae; Streptophyta; Magnoliopsida; Fabales; Fabaceae. The record is from RNAcentral.
CACACCGCCCGUCGCUCCUACCGAUUGAAUGGUCUGGUGAAGUGUUCGGAUUGCGGCGACGUGGGCGGUUCGCUGCCCGCGACGUGGUGAGAAGUCCACUGAACCUUAUCAUUUAGAGGAAGGAGAAGUCGUAACAAGGUUUCCGUAGGUGAACCUGCGGAAGGAUCAUU